GCUCUCCUCACCAGCGAGGAGGCCCAGGCCGAGGUAGAGGUGCAGCAGACUGCGGGCGAAAGCCGAAAAGACGAAGCCGAGCGAGAGAUCACCACCGGGGACUGAGCCACCUGGGACGCGGAGUUUCGGAGGGCGGGAGCGAGCUGAAACACUUAGCCAAUCCGCCGAGCCGCGGGUGAGACCAGACGCCGAGUCCCACGAGGAUUGAAUUAUCCACACCCACAACCUCAAUCCCCAGGAAGGGAGCAGCGGGGAAUGAAUGCCACCCGCCCCGCCCGACUAACGCCCACGCACCUGUCGCCUGCCGAGCACGGAGGAGACGCAUGGAUUACAAUCCCCAGCAAGCCCAGGGUGCGCUGCUAAAACAUGGAAAUAGGGGUCGUCCCCAGUGCGGGGGACCAACACAGCAUAUGAGUAGUUUUGCUCUUAGGAACAUUGCUGAGGACCAGGACUAACAGGAAGCCACUCAUGGUGCAGCAAGAGCUCCUCUGGAAAGUUCCCUGAGCACGCCAGCGCCCAUCCGCCUCUGUUAAUCCACACUGAGCACCUCUCAGCCUGCAGUGAAGUCAUCCAUUUUUGUCCUCUGCUCUUUAUUUCCCAUGUUCCGCACCCAAAGAUGCCGCAGCUCUGCAGACCUGGCAAACAUACAGGAACACAGGCCUCGGUCUCCCACGCUCCCAGAGCAAGCUGGUCCUCAAUUGCCGUGCACCAGACCUGCCAGUAGCCAGCUGCCAGGUCCUGGCUGCUGCUGUCCAUUACUGGAGUCCUGGCGUCCUACCUCUGGAAACGUGGGCUGCCAUCAUCCUGGCUCAUCCCGGACAUGGCUAAGACGACAGCAGGGUUGUCCUGAAGUACGUUCUCGCUCCCCUCAGUGGGUCUGAGUCCCGAAGGCCACCCACUACAGGGCCACAUGCAAUCGAAUCCAGCAAAGUGGCCUCACCUGCCCCCAAUUCCUCUCCAUCCCAUCCCGGCAAGCUGCUUCCCACACCCUCCCUCACCACGCGGGACCUCACAAGGCUUGGCUAGCCCUAGGAAUCCUGUCCAAGGCUGUCUUUCUCCACAAUGUUGCAGACCAGUUAUGGCAAACCGAACGACAACCGUUGGGGGGGAAAUUGUUAAAUCUUUACAGAUAUAUUAUACUUAGUGUGGAAUGUGAGUGUAUUUUAAUGUGCUCCUUGCUGAGAGGUGAUAUAGCCUGGUAGUGAGAAUGUGAACCUGAGAAACAGCCCGUCUGGAUUCAAGUUCUCUUUGCCAUUUACCAGUUAUACAAUGUAGAGCAAAUGAUUUCAUUUCACUGUGUAAUGGUUCCUCACCCAUUAAGAAAAGGAAAGAAGAUGAUGGUAAUGAUAGUUUCUACUUCUGAGGGGGGAAAUAGUCAUUCCUAUGAUCUGAGUGUUUGUAUCCCUCCAAAACUCAUAUGUUGACAUCUAAUCCCUUAUGUAAUCGUAUUAAGUGGUUGUGCCUUCAAGAGGUGAUUAGGUCAUAAGGGGGAGCCCUCGUGAAUAGGAUUAGUGCCCUUAUAAUAGAGGUCCAAGAGAGCGUGUUCACUCCUUCUGCCAUGUGAGGAGGUAGCUAAGAGGCACCACAAUGAAGCAGAGGGCAUGCUCUCAUCAGACACCUUGUCUGCCAGCACCUUCUGGGACUUCCCCGCCUCCAGAACUGUGAGCAGUACAUUUAUAUUGUUUACAAAUUACCUUGUUUAAGGCAUGUUGUUAUAGCAGUACAAAUGGACUGAGACAAUAAUAAUCAUCCCUGGUUACUAUUAGCACAACUUCAGAUUGUUGUGAGGAUUAAAGGAGUUAAUAGUUUUAAAUAUUUUGGAAUUA
Molecule: long non-coding RNA, 1826 nt
Organism: Tupaia belangeri chinensis (Chinese tree shrew)
Lineage: Eukaryota; Metazoa; Chordata; Mammalia; Scandentia; Tupaiidae
Exons: 4
Source: RefSeq, a predicted model, not a curated record